Oncorhynchus nerka (sockeye salmon) is the source of this 1143-nucleotide long non-coding RNA. RefSeq lists it as uncharacterized. The transcript has 2 exons. The record is from RefSeq and is a predicted model, not a curated record. NCBI's taxonomy places the organism in Eukaryota, Metazoa, Chordata, Actinopteri, Salmoniformes, Salmonidae.
AGGUGUGGGGUGAAGGUCACUAGGUGUGGGGUGAAGGUCGCUAGGUGUGGGGGUGAAGGUCGCUAGGUGUUGGGUGAAGGUCGCUAGGUGUUGGGUGAAGGUCGCUAGGUGUUGGGUGAAGGUCGCUAGGUGUUGGGUGAAGGUCGCUAGGUGUUGGGUGAAGGUCGCUAGGUGUUGGGUGUAGGUCGCUAGGUGUUGGGUGAAAGUCGCUAGGUGUGGGGUGAAGGUCGCUAGGUGUUGGGUGAAGGUCGCUAGGUGUUGGGUGAAGGUCGCUAGGUGUUGGGUGAAGGUCGCUACAAAAGAUAAUAUUAUAAUAUCAUGAAUAAAGUGGUAGAGGUCCUUAGGUACAGAUCUAGGAUCAGAAUACAGUAAUGUACUGUACAGUUCUGCCAUGGUAGAGGUCCUUAGGCACAGAUCUAAGGUUCAUCAAAUUAUUAUUUUUUUUAAAUUUUAAAUUAGUGAUUUAUAUUUAUUUAUAGCCAUUGAUUCUUGAAGAUUAUGACUUAUAACUGCCUAAUAAGUUAAGUUGAACUGUUCAAGUUCAACAUCACAACCCGAAAUAUAAACUUGUGUUAAUCCAUUGUUUGUAAACAAUGUCACAUGGUUAAAAAACAUCAUUUUGAGCUCACGGAUGUUCUUGCAUCCACAGCUCAGUCUAUUGUUUGAAAGUGGUCACAUCCCUCAGCUGAUAACCAAAACAAGUGGUGGGUGGGUGGGGGGGGGCCUUUAAGGUUCCACCCUACUACUUGGUCUAAGCGAAAUCAUCCAGAUACUCAGCUGUCUUCAAGAAAUUGUCAAAACAAUGUCUGCAAUCAAUAUUUAUUUUUAAUUCUAUUAUUUUGCACUUUCACUUCAACAAUCGGUUUGGUUUAGUUUAUUUUUUUUAAUGAAUGUGUAUUAUAUGAAAAAUUAUUCAAAGCGACUGUGAAUUUCUUUAGAAUGUAUAAUUUUUAUGUUAUUCUAUGAGCAGAGUUCUGAAUGUAAGCACUUAUUGUUGUACUUGACUGCGGGAGUCUGUAUGGCUGGGGGGGGGGGUCUGUGUGGGGUCUGUGUGGGUGGGGAUCUGUGUGGGUGUGUCAGUGGGUGGGUGCGCUUUUGGUAUAUCUGUAAUGUUAUCUACAAUUAAAUUCUUGUUACAAAGAA